Molecule: ribosomal RNA, 789 nt
Filed under: uncultured marine bacterium
Lineage: Bacteria
Description: bacterial SSU rRNA
Rfam family: Bacterial small subunit ribosomal RNA
Source: RNAcentral
AGUCGAGGGGUAAGAGUCAGCUUGCUGACUACACGACCGGCGCACGGGUGAGUAACGCGUAUGCAACCUACCUUUAACAGAGGAAUAGCCCCGAGAAAUCGGGAUUAAUACCACAUAACAUUAUGAUAUGGCAUCAUAUUAUAAUUAAAACUCUGGUGGUUAAAGAUGGGCAUGCGUGACAUUAGCUUGUUGGUGAGGUAACUGCUCACCAAGGCAACGAUGUCUAGGGGUUCUGAGAGGAUGAUCCCCCACACUGGUACUGAGACACGGACCAGACUCCUACGGGAGGCAGCAGUAAGGAAUAUUGCGCAAUGGAGGAAACUCUGACGCAGCCAUGCCGCGUGCAGGAUUGAAGGCCUUAUGGGUCGUAAACUGCUUUUAUUUAGGAAUAAACUUUCGUACGUGUACGAAACUGAAGGUACUAAACGAAUAAGCACCGGCUAACUCCGUGCCAGCAGCCGCGGUAAUACGGAGGGUGCAAGCGUUAUCCGGAUUUAUUGGGUUUAAAGGGUGCGCAGGCGGACCAAUUAGUCAGUGGUGAAAUCCCGAGGCUCAACCUCGGAACUGCCAUUGAUACUGUUGGUCUUGAAUACGGUUGAAGUAGGCGGAAUGUAGCAUGUAGCGGUGAAAUGCAUAGAGAUGCUACAGAACACCGAUCGCGAAGGCAGCUUACUAAACCGAUAUUGACGCUCAGGCACGAAAGCGUGGGGAGCGAACAGGAUUAGAUACCCUGGUAGUCCACGCCGUAAACUAUGAUCACUCGUUGUUGGCAAUACACAGUCAGUGGCC